UACAGAGGUGGCAAGCGUUGUUCGGAAUUACUGGGCGUAAAGGGCGAGUAGGUGGCCAUCUAAGUCAGACGUGAAAUCCCCCGGCUUAACCUGGGAACUGCGUCUGAUACUGGAUGGCUAGAGGUUGGGAGAGGGAUGCGGAAUUCCAGGUGUAGCGGUGAAAUGCGUAGAUAUCUGGAGGAACACCGGUGGCGAAGGCGGCAUCCUGGACCAAUUCUGACGCUGAGGAGCGAAAGCCAGGGGAGCAAACGGG
This 253-nucleotide ribosomal RNA is filed under the name uncultured bacterium. RNAcentral's name for it is "partial 16S ribosomal RNA". It matches the Rfam family "Bacterial small subunit ribosomal RNA", at positions 524 to 776 of the family's 1533-position model. The record is from RNAcentral.